CCAUUUUUAAGAUAGGAUGUGAAGCUGGGAUCUGUCCUGUUUGGUUCUUACGAUUCCAUUAUCGAAAUAAUUUUUUUUGGGUUAUUUUAAAACAAGUAAAACACACGCAACAACAAAAACAUAAGGAAAACAAACACGCCACUAUAACAGAGCUGUUUUUUGAGAAUUGAGAAACCAAGAUCAUGGCCGUUGUAGAGAAUGCGGGCGCGGAUUUGGGGAUGACUGUGGGUUUGAGCUCAUCAUCUAAUCUAGAUUCGGGUGUGUCAUCGUCAGCCAGCGAUCAGGACCAGCUCAACCCCAAUCACAACCA
RNAcentral lists this unclassified non-coding RNA (310 nucleotides) under Hevea brasiliensis (rubber tree). The record is from RNAcentral. Lineage: Eukaryota; Viridiplantae; Streptophyta; Magnoliopsida; Malpighiales; Euphorbiaceae.